This 433-nucleotide ribosomal RNA is filed under the name uncultured bacterium. Its description in RNAcentral is "partial 16S ribosomal RNA". It matches the Rfam family "Bacterial small subunit ribosomal RNA", at positions 29 to 507 of the family's 1533-position model. The record is from RNAcentral.
AACGAACGCUGGCGGCAUGCCUAACACAUGCAAGUCGAACGAGACCUUCGGGUCUAGUGGCGCACGGGUGCGUAACGCGUGGGAACCUGCCCUUAGGUUCGGAAUAACUUCCCGAAAGGGGUGCUAAUACCGGAUAAUGUCUUCGGACCAAAGAUUUAUCGCCUUUGGAUGGGCCCGCGUUGGAUUAGCUAGUUGGUAGGGUAAAAGCCUACCAAGGCGACGAUCCAUAGCUGGUCUGAGAGGAUGAUCAGCCACACUGGGACUGAGACACGGCCCAGACUCCUACGGGAGGCAGCAGUGGGGAAUAUUGGACAAUGGGCGAAAGCCUGAUCCAGCAAUGCCGCGUGAGUGAUGAAGGCCUUAGGGUUGUAAAGCUCUUUUACCCGGGAUGAUAAUGACAGUACCGGGAGAAUAAGCGCCGGCUAACUCCGUG